Non-coding RNA from Acanthosepion pharaonis, 109 nucleotides. The record is from the annotation of a GenBank genome assembly. Lineage: Eukaryota; Metazoa; Mollusca; Cephalopoda; Sepiida; Sepiidae.
CGGCCACAUUCCAUUAAAACACCGGUUGCCAUACGAUUACCGAAGUUACCCAACGUAGAGCCUGGUCAGUAACUAGAUGGGUGACCGCUUGGGAAUACCAAGUGUUGGA